This 683-nucleotide ribosomal RNA is filed under the name Lamium amplexicaule (henbit deadnettle). Its description in RNAcentral is "eukaryotic LSU rRNA". The stretch from base 265 to 420 matches the Rfam family "5.8S ribosomal RNA". The record is from RNAcentral. Lineage: Eukaryota; Viridiplantae; Streptophyta; Magnoliopsida; Lamiales; Lamiaceae.
GUAGGUGAACCUGCGGAAGGAUCAUUGUCGAAACCUGCAAAAGCAGACCGCGAACACGUCCAAAACCACACCGGGGCCCCGGAGGGGGGGCGACCCCCCGCCGAGGCCCCGAUCCCGCAACGUCCCCACCCGGGGGGCCGCGCGGGCUAACGAACUCGGGCGCGGAAUGCGCCAAGGAAAACGCAAAUGGAGCGUCCCCCUCCCCACCGAGUCCCGUCCGCGGGGCGAGGCGGGGAGAAAGGGACGCCUAUCGAAUGUCUAAACGACUCUCGGCAACGGAUAUCUCGGCUCUCGCAUCGAUGAAGAACGUAGCGAAAUGCGAUACUUGGUGUGAAUUGCAGAAUCCCGUGAACCAUCGAGUCUUUGAACGCAAGUUGCGCCCGAAGCCAUUAGGCCGAGGGCACGUCUGCCUGGGCGUCACGCAUCGCGUCGCCCCCGCCCAAAACCCCAAGGGGCGGGCGGGGGCGGAGAUUGGCCCCCCGUGCGAGCGAACCCGCGCGCGCGGCCGGCCCAAAUGCGAAUCCGCCGCCGACGCACGUCGCGACCAGUGGUGGUUGAACCCUCAACUCUCGUGCUGUCGCGCACCAAUGCUUCGUCGGUCCGGAGACACCAUCGGAACCCAACGGCGCGCGAGCUCGCGCUCCGCGCCCACGACCGCGACCCCAGGUCAGGCGGGAUCACCC